Molecule: long non-coding RNA, 839 nt
Filed under: Homo sapiens (human)
Lineage: Eukaryota; Metazoa; Chordata; Mammalia; Primates; Hominidae
Description: HSALNT0314124
Source: RNAcentral
AGGGAAUGGUUUCUCUCUCUUCCGCUGGACUUUAACAAGCAAGCACAUGACGGGCUUCAUCAGUCCUGGACGAGAAAGCUGAGAUGAAAAUAACUUGAGUCUUGGAUGAAAUCAGUGACCCUAUGAUAUCAUCACAUCUAGAGCUGACUCUAACUGGACUUCCAGCUAUUUCCAGGACAUAUUCAAGCAGAGUUUGGAUAACCACCUGCCAAAGAUCUGUAUUGGGUGGGAAGUUGGUUCAUACCUGUCUUAAUUGUCCAAGAUUCUAUUCUUCACCUAGAUUAUCUCUGUAAAUCAUGAAGUGCUUACUAAAAGUAUUAUAUCCAAAUGAAUAUUCAAGUAAAAAUAUAAACAAUAAAAUAAUAGAGAAUGCUAAUAACAGUGCUAAAUACUGUGUAUACAUCAUUUUUAAUUAGUACUGACAAUCUCGUAAGUUAGGUAUUACUUCUAUACCUUUUUUUUUUUUUCAGCUGAGAAAAACAGACCCAAAGAAGCUAUGCCUUGCUUGAGGUCACAUAGCCAGCUAUUGAACCUAAGUCUGUCAUACAUCAAAGCCAUGCUCUUAAUGAAUUAGGAAAGAAUCUUAAGGAAUCAUCUGAUUCAGCUCCUUAUUUUAUAAAGGAGGGACUUUUCCCAUCACACAAUGAUACAUGAACAUUAUACAUCCUCUUAAUUAUGUUCUCAGUAUCUUUUGUUCUUGAGAUUUUAGACUCAAUGUACUUACAAGCAGAAUAUGAUCAUACUUCAUUAGCCCAUCAGCAGCUACGAGGAUGACAAGGUUGCUAUACUAAGGAAAUCACACUCUGUUCAACUCCAGGCAUCACCAUGGCAUAGCACUG